AUUGAACGCUGGCGGCAGGCCUAACACAUGCAAGUCGAGCGGAUGAGAGGAGCUAGCCCCUCGAUUCAGCGGCGGACGGGUGAGUAAUGCCUAGGAAUCUGCCCAGUAGUGGGGGACAACGUUUCGAAAGGAACGCUAAUACCGCAUACGUCCUACGGGAGAAAGUGGGGGAUCUUCGGACCUCACGCUAUUGGAUGAGCCUAGGUCGGAUUAGCUAGUUGGUAGGGUAAAGGCCUACCAAGGCGACGAUCCGUAACUGGUCUGAGAGGAUGAUCAGUCACACUGGCACUGAGACACGGUCCAGACUCCUACGGGAGGCAGCAGUGGGGAAUAUUGGACAAUGGGCGCAAGCCUGACCAGCCAUGCCGCGUGUGUGAAGAAGGCCCUCGGGUCGUAAAGCACUUUAAGUUGGGAGGAAGGGCUUACAGCGAAUACCUGUGAGUUUUGACGUUACCGACAGAAUAAGCACCGGCUAACUUCGUGCCAGCAGCCGCCGUAA
RNAcentral lists this ribosomal RNA (499 nucleotides) under uncultured bacterium. RNAcentral describes it as "partial 16S ribosomal RNA". It matches the Rfam family "Bacterial small subunit ribosomal RNA", at positions 30 to 523 of the family's 1533-position model. The record is from RNAcentral.